CAGAUGGUAACUUAUUUAAAGUAUUUUAUUUACAUUAAAAAAAAAAUUAAUUAUUUCAUUUGA
Molecule: transfer RNA, 63 nt
Filed under: Scaphoideus nigrivalveus
Lineage: Eukaryota; Metazoa; Arthropoda; Insecta; Hemiptera; Cicadellidae
Description: tRNA-Val
Source: RNAcentral